RNAcentral lists this ribosomal RNA (1384 nucleotides) under Pediococcus pentosaceus. Its description in RNAcentral is "bacterial SSU rRNA". It matches the Rfam family "Bacterial small subunit ribosomal RNA", at positions 59 to 1425 of the family's 1533-position model. Lineage: Bacteria; Bacillati; Bacillota; Bacilli; Lactobacillales; Lactobacillaceae. The record is from RNAcentral.
AUGACGUACUUGUACUGAUUGAGAUUUUAACACGAAGUGAGUGGCGAACGGGUGAGUAACACGUGGGUAACCUGCCCAGAAGUAGGGGAUAACACCUGGAAACAGAUGCUAAUACCGUAUAACAGAGAAAACCGCAUGGUUUUCUUUUAAAAGAUGGCUCUGCUAUCACUUCUGGAUGGACCCGCGGCGUAUUAGCUAGUUGGUGAGGUAAAGGCUCACCAAGGCAGUGAUACGUAGCCGACCUGAGAGGGUAAUCGGCCACAUUGGGACUGAGACACGGCCCAGACUCCUACGGGAGGCAGCAGUAGGGAAUCUUCCACAAUGGACGCAAGUCUGAUGGAGCAACGCCGCGUGAGUGAAGAAGGGUUUCGGCUCGUAAAGCUCUGUUGUUAAAGAAGAACGUGGGUAAGAGUAACUGUUUACCCAGUGACGGUAUUUAACCAGAAAGCCACGGCUAACUACGUGCCAGCAGCCGCGGUAAUACGUAGGUGGCAAGCGUUAUCCGGAUUUAUUGGGCGUAAAGCGAGCGCAGGCGGUCUUUUAAGUCUAAUGUGAAAGCCUUCGGCUCAACCGAAGAAGUGCAUUGGAAACUGGGAGACUUGAGUGCAGAAGAGGACAGUGGAACUCCAUGUGUAGCGGUGAAAUGCGUAGAUAUAUGGAAGAACACCAGUGGCGAAGGCGGCUGUCUGGUCUGCAACUGACGCUGAGGCUCGAAAGCAUGGGUAGCGAACAGGAUUAGAUACCCUGGUAGUCCAUGCCGUAAACGAUGAUUACUAAGUGUUGGAGGGUUUCCGCCCUUCAGUGCUGCAGCUAACGCAUUAAGUAAUCCGCCUGGGGAGUACGACCGCAAGGUUGAAACUCAAAAGAAUUGACGGGGGCCCGCACAAGCGGUGGAGCAUGUGGUUUAAUUUCGAAGCUACGCGAAGAACCUUUACCAGGUCUUGACAUCUUCUGACAGUCUAAGAGAUUAGAGGUUCCCUUCGGGGACAGAAUGACAGGUGGUGCAUGGUUGUCGUCAGCUCGUGUCGUGAGAUGUUGGGUUAAGUCCCGCAACGAGCGCAACCCUUAUUACUAGUUGCCAGCAUUAAGUUGGGCACUCUAGUGAGACUGCCGGUGACAAACCGGAGGAAGGUGGGGACGACGUCAAAUCAUCAUGCCCCUUAUGACCUGGGCUACACACGUGCUACAAUGGAUGGUACAACGAGUCGCGAGACCGCGAGGUUAAGCUAAUCUCUUAAAACCAUUCUCAGUUCGGACUGUAGGCUGCAACUCGCCUACACGAAGUCGGAAUCGCUAGUAAUCGCGGAUCAGCAUGCCGCGGUGAAUACGUUCCCGGGCCUUGUACACACCGCCCGUCACACCAUGAGAGUUUGUAACACCCAAA